GUGAUUGGCUACUUUAGUCAUGGGACAGGCUGGCCUUGGCUGUAAAGACAAGGAGAGCCACGACCAUGAACCUAGACUGAUCUGUGGACAGAUUAGGAGGAGCCUAAGGAGAGCCAAUCAUCAUCCAGCCUUCCCCAUUUUGAAUUAAACCAAUCAGGCUUCACCUCCUCUUAACCAAUCAGCAUCAACUACUCAGAUUGCAACAAGACCAGCUCAUCUACACCAUCCAUUCCUCUUAAGUUAUUUACAGCCAGACAAUCAACUUCAAUGUGCUUGGUUCUCUCAUGAAACACCGAGUUGGAGGCAAUGUGGAUAGCUGCUUGGUUAUCACAAUGCAUUGUCAUAGGCGUGGCUUGAUCAAUCUCCAAAUGCUUCAAGAUGCCUUUGAUCCACACCAGCUCAUUGGUAAGCUUCAGCAUAGCUCUAUACUCAGCUUCUGCACUUGAGCAAGAGACCACCUUCUGCUUCUUACUCUUCAAUCCCUUAAUCUCUCCCUUUCUUAGUCUCUAAUCUCCUAAUCUCUCAAAGUCUUUUGUUUCUGAUCUGAGUAAACACUUAAUCACUCAUAAACACUUCCACUAAUCUAUCUCUCUCUAAAUCACCUAAAUCAAACUCUCUCUCUCUCUCUGCCCUAUUAGGUUUCACACAAACACACAGCCUGAGAUCUCUGAAAAUCUCACAUGGUAUCAGAGCCAGGUUCAUCUGAAUCUGGUUCUUAGCUUCCGCAAAAGCUCACAAGCUCCUCUCAUGUCGUUUUGAAACCAAGACCAAGCUUAGAUGAUCCAGCCGGCUGUUCAACAUCUCAAGUGGAAGAUGGGUUCAUCCCUGGUGUCCAGAAGCUGUAUGUGGUCGUUUCUCACCCUCUCAUGACGCCCAUGAAGAAAGAAGGCUCUUGGAAACAAGGCAGGAAGUGGUCUGAUCAACCAAGCUUCAAAGCUUUAUACAAGCUGUUUCUUAUUCACUGUCCAAGAAGAAAGGUGAUAGCUUUCAUCUGGUACUGGUGUGGCGAGUGUAACAUGAAGAAAGGUGGGGUCUUUGACAUGGAGAGUUCAAGAGAAAGGUCCUUGGAAGAAGGAGAAGUUGGGGUCGACACCAACAGCUCACUGUCUUGCCAUGUUCUAUGGAGUUUCAAGGAACUAACACUAGUUCCUUGGCUGUAAGAAACCUCUUUCUCUUGUUUAAAGCUUGUGUAUGUGAACUGAAUGAUGUAUUAAACAGGUUGUGAUGUUGUGAUGUGAUUGAAAACCUGAGGAUGUGUUUAAAGAUUGCUAGAUAUGAAAUGUUUAGAAUCUGUCCCAGGAUGCUUAAAAAGAGUUGGUUGGUGACUGAGAAUUGUUGCUUGAAUCUGGUUCAUAAUGAAUGUCUGUUAGGGAGUUAGUAGUAUUGUCUAAACCUGACUGCUUUCAUGAAUUGAAACCGAGCUUAAAGUGGAGUGUAGAGUGUUGUUGCUGCCUUAGGUUGAUGCACUUUGAUUCAAGUCUAAGAUGCAGUUAAGGCAGAAGUUAAAAAUGCCUAAGUAGCUUGCAUAAAUCUGGAAAAGAAAGUGCUUGUGCUUAGAGAGUUUGCUUGCAAAGAUUAGAACUUGAAAGUGUCUUGUAUAAUCUGUUGCAAUGCUUGUGAUAUUGGUGAUCAACCUUGAUGAUGUGUCAAGGAUUGAUACCAAUACCUUUGUGUCUUAUCUAUGCUGGAGUUUGAGUGAUGUUUCAGGUUCACAAGAAGUGUUCUUUGCUCACCAUCCAUCCAAGUAGAAGAGGAAGACUUUGCCCAUUGUUGAAGCAAUGGAGAGUGGCUUGUGUGUAUGGCCGGUUGAGAAGCGCAGCUAGUGAUAGUGAUGCGCUCCUGGUUCAUGGAGACACACAAGGAAAGGUCAUCACCUAAGUCUUGAGGAGACCGGUGACCUGAAGGCAUUGGAGCUGAAGGAAAUGGGAGAUCGGUUGACUUAAGCGCAGCUGUAGGAAGUGAUGUGCUCCCGGUUUGGAGUCUCAUUGAGGCUCACUUCAAGCUUGAACCUAGGCUCAGUCAAGCUUGAGGUGGGGAUUCAAGUGAGCUACCAGAAGAUUCUCGAAGCUCAGUGACCUGUUUCCUCCUUACCAUUGCAAGCUUCCGAAGAAGGAGCCAACCAGGGUUUAGGCAGUAGCGUGUCUACUCAAGAGAUUGUUCAGAGCAGUCUUGGCUGUUCUCGAAGCUCAGUGACCUGUUUCCUCCUUACCAUUGCAAGCUUCCGAAGAAGGAGCCAACCCGGGUUUAGGCAGUAGCGUGUCUACUCAAGAGAUUGUUCAGAGCAGUCUUGGCUGCGUAUGAAGAAGGUUACUCUAUCAAUGCGGCCUCUAGUGUGAGGUGAUUGAAGAGGGAACUGAGGUAUCUACCAGCAGUCCAUCAAGGGUGGCAAGUUAUGAAGAGAGGUUGCAAUGGUUUGUUCAGUCCAGAUCAUGAAGCCUUCUUGCUGUCCAACCUUGAUCCUUGCAAGAGGUCUCAAGCUUGAGGGGGAGUGUUGAAGUGGCUUCACUGAUCAGAUGGAGUUUCAGAAGUGAGGGAUUCAAGUGGCUAGUGAAGAGCAGCCACUCCUCACCAUCUAAACAAGGGAGUAAACCUUAUCUAUUCUUUAUAUACAUUCAUGAUAUGUUUAUCUCUUGGGGACUGAUACACUUGUGGAAUGAUGUAUCAGGUACUUGUAUCUAUCAAGGAAGAUCUGGUGUGUCCAAACACUUCAACCUAACAAGAAGUUAGGUGAAAGGGGGAGAGACCAAGAUCUGUCUGAAGAAGAGUACAAGAAGUGUUGAUGAUGAGCAAGAAGAGUGGGUUCUAUCUUGCAUCACAUGAGGGCCAUGAUCCAGAGUCUUUGUGUCCCUUACAUUGUUGGUAAGGCACAAAGACUCACUGGCCAAUCCCUAGGCCUUGGAGACUUUACUCUUUUUCCCUCAUCAAGGUUUUGUCCCAAAGGGUUUUCCUUGGUGAGGUUUUUAAUGAGGAAGUUCUUCAAGGUUCCAAGCUUGACUUAGGAUCAACUAAAGUCAAGCUUGAGGGGGAGUGUUAACUUGAAGAGAAGAAAUGGAGAAACUAAAGGUGUUGAGUUGAGUUUUUGUCCCAAAGGGUUUUCCUUGGUGAGGUUUUUAAUGAGGAAGUUCCUCAAGGUUCCAAGCUUGACUUAGGAUCAACUAAAGUCAAGCUUGAGGGGGAGUGUUAACUUGAAGAGAAGAAAUGGAGAAACUAAAGGUGUUGAGUUGAGUUGGGGCUUAUGCAAAAGAUAGGGCAAGGUGUCCAGAAGUGUCAUGAUGGAUGUGCAAUGUUAGGGCCAAGUCUAGGAGAGACUUAGAAGUGUAUUUGGGAGCAAAUGGACGAGUGUGCAAAGAUAGGGAGAGGCAGUACGGACAUGUACGGACAGUACGGAUCUGUACAGACCAGGGCGACCCAGAUUUGCAUAACUCGGCCAUUUGAGAAGUUUUGGAAUUGGUGCAAAAAUAGGGUGAACCUGACGUCCCGGGAAAGCUUGUGCAAUGUCUGGGCAAGGUUUGAGAGUUAUAAAAGUGGUCUCAGUCUUGUGGAUAAGGUUCUGAUCAGAUGGCAUCAAAGGAGAAUCAAGAAGAUGCCAUUGGAGUGUGAUUGGCUAGUUUGGUCAUGGGACAGGCUGGCCUUGGCUGUAAAGACAAGGGGAGCCACGACCAUGAACCUGGACUGAUCUGUGGACAGAUUAGGAGGAGCCUAAGGAGAGCCAAUCACAGCCCAGCCUUCCCCAUUUUGAAUUAAACCAAUCAGGCUCCAUCUCCUCUUAACCAAUCAGCAUCAACUACUCAGAUUGCAACAAGACCAGCUCAUCUACACCAUCCAUUCCUCUUAAGUUAUUAUCAGCCAUUAGAUAUAGGUUUCUGAUUGUGUAAACCUGUGUAAGCUUAUAAAUAAGCAUGAUGGACGAAAUUGUAUCUCUCUAAGAGAGAGAGGGGGAUUUCCCCUCCUCCUUCAUCAAUGAAAGGGUUUUGAAAACCAGAAACACAAAUCUAUUCUCUAGUCUUAAUCUCUCAGUCUCUCAGUCUCUUAAUCUCUGUUUCUAAGUCUCUUAUACACUCAAAAACACUCUUAUCAAUCUCUGUUCUUAAAUCACCAUUAAAAGCUCUCAUCUUGCUCAAUUGGAGCUUAUACACAUUCACACACACAACCAGAGUAGUACUCUAUAAAAACUCACAGA
This 4180-nucleotide long non-coding RNA is filed under the name Brassica napus (rape). RNAcentral's name for it is "long non-coding RNA (BNAP_LNC015241)". Lineage: Eukaryota; Viridiplantae; Streptophyta; Magnoliopsida; Brassicales; Brassicaceae. The record is from RNAcentral.